GAACUAACUGCUCGCUGCUGACCUGCCGGCCUCGUUGCCCUCCUUCUCUCUGUGGCUGUGGGCAAGUGACUCACUUCUUAGUCUUCUCUCUUGGAAAACCGGCGGCUGGACCAGCUGCUCCCCGUGGUCCCUGCCAGCGCUGGCUCGCCGGGAUUCCAUCUCCCCACCCUCUCUGGGUUCUCCACGCUCUGGGCUGUCAUUGCAGCGUGGAUCGUAAUGCACGUAAUGCAGUGUGACAUGCAUUCCAGCACCCUGAUGGCCAUGGGCUCUCCCUCGGCUCAGGCCCGCCCUGGGGAGCUGCGGAGGCUGUGUUGAGCUCAGCUCCUCAUCUUAAUUCUGCAAACCUGUUUUGAGGUCUGGUCUGGUUCCCAGCUGAGCACUCAGGUACUGUGGGUGGGGUCUCUUGGCCUGGGGUCUGCCCGGCGCACCAUGAAUCAUCAGCCAGACAGGGUCUUUCAGAAGCGGGACUGUCCAUCCCUGUUCUCCAGGCAUGAUCAUGUCUGUUCAUCAGAGAUCAUCUUUACGGAGGUAGAGAAGAGCUUCCGUCUCCGGGGUCACGUGUUGUACUUUGCACAUCCUCCGUGGUGAGGUUCUUUUCUAGAUCUAGCCCAAAUCUUCAAGAAGGCUUAAAACAAAGCUGCAUUUUAAGGGCUUCUGGGUGGAGGAAUCAGAUUAGAUCCAUUCUGCUCAGCUUUCUCUCACCAGAAGUGGGGGCUCCGCCCUCUGAGUGGGAAGGGACCCAUUCCUUUCACUUCCCCGCUCCCUGGCUAGGUCAGCCCACACCUGGCUUGGGCCAGAGCUGCAGUUGCUGUUGGCACCCAAAUGGUCUGAGGCUGUUAGGUAACAGGUCUUGGCCAGACAUUCUGGUUCCGCAGGUACAGCCUACAAGUUAAAAAUUGUUCUAAAAAUGCAGGGCAAGCUGUCUAAACACACACAGGCCUGGGGAGGGGGGAGGUUGUGGGACAGAGGCCAUAGUCAGUGGAGGGAUGUGUUUUCCACAGGGACUCUGGGCUCAGAGCCCUGACUCCAAACCAAGCAUCAAACUCAGGGAAGAGUGGCCCAGACCUGCUGCAGGGACGAGGGGCCCAGACCCGCUGCAGGGACGAGGGGCCCAGAC
This 1117-nucleotide long non-coding RNA is filed under the name Homo sapiens (human). RNAcentral's name for it is "novel transcript". The record is from RNAcentral. Lineage: Eukaryota; Metazoa; Chordata; Mammalia; Primates; Hominidae.